Molecule: long non-coding RNA, 2470 nt
Organism: Oncorhynchus kisutch (coho salmon)
Lineage: Eukaryota; Metazoa; Chordata; Actinopteri; Salmoniformes; Salmonidae
Source: Ensembl
CAACAUUUUCAAAACUUUAUUAGGGUAAUAUCAAAGUAAGUCAAUCCAUUGUUUCUAUGGAAAAUACAAGCAUUUUAUAAUUUUGUGGCAAACACAACAAUACAGUUGUAUGAAACAAUGAAAAUGAAACAAAACACUUGCGAACUGGUUUAAACCUUCACAGAAGUUUGAAAAGGCUGUAUUGCAGCAAUUACCAAUAGAAACUAGUGCCUACCAUACCCAACAAAUGACAGCAAUAGACUCAUUACAUUUAUUUGACAAAAAGGCCUACAUAUAACCUAUCUUAAACUAAAUAUGGAGCACACAAUUAAAGGCCGAUCAAACUUAAUAACCAACAAAAAUGUCUCAACAGAAUGAAACGAAACACAUUUAGCAUAUUUAAAGGACUGGUUUAGAUUAAUAAAUAGGCCUACAAUACUAAUAAUGAUAUACAAUAAUUAUAGAACAAAUAUUUUACAAAUAUAAUAAACUGCAUCCUAUCUAAAUAGUAAGUUGCACAGAAUCCUGCAUUUUGCCAUACAUUUUUUUUUCUGCUAACGUCUUCUAUCAUAUAAAUGACGGAGAAUUGCAGGAAAUGCAUUUAUAAAAGGCACAUUUUCUUCCCCAGAUCCGGCAAAAAAAACCUACGUGUGAUAAAGGUGUCUCCUCAACUGUAUGCCACUACGCAAAGGCGAACAUAGAUACAUGCAAUGCUUUAUUAUAAAUGGGCUUUUUUUUUUACCAAAGUGAAAAAAAAUGUUGACAACAAAUUCUCUUUUAGCCCAAUCCCAUUUAGCCCAAUGUUCCAAACCUAAAGGAGCGAGCCACAUGAGCCUGUCAGGAGACUACAUUACCCAAGAGUCUUUCCUGGCAGUUGCUGAAUAUCGUGUUUUAGUGUGACGUUGGUUAUGUCGGUCUUGCGAUGACUAUUACUUGUCUCGGUGACACUUGGAGCAAUGUGGAAUACACCUGCCAGAGGAUAUCCUGUGGCUCCCCUGGAGAAGGCAUGAAUGGUUGGUAUGACCUCACAGAGGGGGUGGAGUUUGGAACCAGAGCAAGAGCCAAGUGUGACAAAGGGUCAGUAGUACACACUCACAGAACAGGACCUUCUCUCCAGUAGAUGUACUAGUAGAGUUGUCCUACACUCACAGGACAGGACCUUCUCUCCCGUAGAUGUACUAGUAGAGUUGUCCUACACUCACAGGACAGGACCUUCUCUCCCGUAGAUGUACUAGUAGAGUUGUCCUACACUCACAGGACAGGACCUUCUCUCCCGUAGAUGUACUAGUAGAGUUGUCCUACACUCACAGGACAGGACCUUCUCUCCCGUAGAUGUACUAGUAGAGUUGUCCUACACUCACAGGACAGGACCUUCUCUCCUGUAGAUGUACUAGUAGAGUUGUCCUACACUUACAAGACAGGACCUUCUCUCCCGUAGAUGUACUAGUAGAGUUGUCCUACACUCACAGGACAGGACCUUCUCUCCCGUAGAUGUACUAGUAGAGUUGUCCUACACUCACAGGACAGGACCUUCUCUCCCGUAGAUGUACUAGUAGAGUUGUCCUACACUCACAAGACAGGACCUUCUCUCCCGUAGAUGUACUAGUAGAGUUGUCCUACACUCACAGGACAGGACCUUCUCUCCCGUAGAUGUACUAGUGGAGUUGUCCUACACUCACAGGACAGGACCUUCUCUCCCGUAGAUGUACUAGUGGAGUUGUCCUACACUCACAGGACAGGACCUUCUCUCCCGUAGAUGUACUAGUGGAGUUGUCCUACACUCACAGGACAGGACCUUCUCUCCCGUAGAUGUACUAGUAGAGUUGUCCUACACUCACAGGACAGGACCUUCUCUCCAGUAGAUUUGUUGCAUCAUAUUAUAGCAACGCUAAAGGUCUUAUAUAGAACCCCAAUGAACUCUUAUUGUAAAAAAAAAAACUUGCUUCUUAUAUGUACCGCUAAAUGUUCUAUUUAGAACUCGUAUUUCUUUUCUUCUAAAAGUUGGGGGCAAUAAAUGAAGUGAUAGAACCUGUUUUCUGUUUUCUGUUUUCUGUCUUCUAUUUGAGUUGAAUAUUCUGUCCUUGUUUUCAGACAUUACAUAUUGGGUUCCAAAGUAUCAAAUUGCAUGGCAUCAGGUUGGUCUGCCAGACUCGCUAUCUGUGAAGGUCAGUGACUGAUGUGAAAGGGCACAUGCGCACACACACACACAUUCAGGGCUGUCAUUCAGCACACUUGUUUGAUUUUUGCCCAGCUCUGCAAGCCGCUAAUGCAAGCAUGCGGACUGGGUAACGAACACUGUAGGUGAAGUCCCUUGGGCUGCUCUAUUUAAGUCCUGUGUGUGUGUGUGUGUGUGUGUGUGUGUGUGUGGGUGGGUUUGUUUGUUGUUCUCAGUUGUGUUUGUCAUAUUGAGUCAUGGCCAGUGAGUGAGGACAAAACAACUAUAUAUAUACAGUGCUUCAGUAUCUCACUGUUUCAGCUUGGUUUCACUCAG